RNAcentral lists this transfer RNA (67 nucleotides) under Afghanodon mustersi (Paghman mountain salamander). RNAcentral describes it as "tRNA-Ser". Lineage: Eukaryota; Metazoa; Chordata; Amphibia; Caudata; Hynobiidae. The record is from RNAcentral.
GAGAAGAGUCAUGAGACACAGAAAUUGCUAACUAUCUGCUACUGUGGUUAAAAUCCACAGGCUACUU